This 23-nucleotide small nuclear RNA is filed under the name Arabidopsis thaliana (thale cress). RNAcentral's name for it is "snRNA_11930". The record is from RNAcentral. Lineage: Eukaryota; Viridiplantae; Streptophyta; Magnoliopsida; Brassicales; Brassicaceae.
AUGUCCAAAUUUGUUGUAAAAAU